This is a long non-coding RNA of Fukomys damarensis (Damara mole-rat), 797 nucleotides long. RefSeq lists it as uncharacterized. Lineage: Eukaryota; Metazoa; Chordata; Mammalia; Rodentia; Bathyergidae. The record is from RefSeq and is a predicted model, not a curated record. The transcript is spliced from 3 exons.
UAUUUUAGGGGAGGAAAAUGAUAUCAAUACAUCCUCUGUUAUCCUCAAGAGACAGAAGAACAUUAUUGCUUUUAGAUGAAUUUUUAAACUGACUUGAAAGGGUACCAGAAUGUGUGACAGAAGGUGAGACUAAACACAGAUCCCAAAAGAUGUCCUCCCAGUACUCCUGACAGUAGAGCAAGUUCCACAACCAAAAACCUAGACCACACAUCAAGGUUAACGCAAAAGAAUAGAAGAUGAAGCAGUACCACUGACUCAUGAAGCAGCCAGAAUGUUCUCUCCCCCAUGAGAGAGGAAGAUCCAGAUGCAAAGAGAUCACUUUCUUACAAAGACGGCCAAACUCCCCAUUAGAAAUCUGAAAUUUGAGACCAGAUACCAUCAGCGCAGGAAGAUCCGUUACAAUGGUAGCAGGAACAAUUGGCUGCUGACUGCAUGCUGUGUAACUCUACACUGAAUACGGCACCUUGAAAUGUGAGGCAGACACUCCCUCCUCAAGUCCAGUCAUUACCAGUGCUGGGGAGUGAGCCCAAAGCAUUACUUGCUGAGUGACUGUGCAUCCCUGCGGUACCGACAAGGAAACAAUACACGAUAGGGUAGACCUUUCUCUGUUGCCAAGCCCCGCCAUAUCUGUGCCAUAAGAUGUUCUGUUCAAGCAAUGCAGCUGUUUGUACUGCGUGAUGAUCCUGCCCAAUGUAUGAAAGUGUUUUGUUCAAGCAAUGUAACUGUUUGUGCCUCAUGAUGUUUCUACCUGUUUCAGAAAUGUUCUGUUAACACCACCCUUCGCCUCGAUGAGCAUG